UGCACCGAUGAUGAGAAUGUGUCAUGAGCCAAGAAUAAUGAUGAAUCACAUUCUCUGGAUCUGAGCUCCAAA
This 72-nucleotide small nucleolar RNA is filed under the name Pteropus vampyrus (large flying fox). RNAcentral describes it as "Small nucleolar RNA SNORD112 (ENSPVAG00000028061.1)". The record is from RNAcentral. Lineage: Eukaryota; Metazoa; Chordata; Mammalia; Chiroptera; Pteropodidae.